GAGGGUAUAGCUCAAUGGCAGAGUACCUGCUUAGCAUGCACGAGGUCCUGGGUUCAAUCCCCAGUGCCUCCA
RNAcentral lists this transfer RNA (72 nucleotides) under Camelus bactrianus (Bactrian camel). It matches the Rfam family "tRNA". Rfam says of the family: Transfer RNA (tRNA) molecules are approximately 80 nucleotides in length. Their secondary structure includes four short double-helical elements and three loops (D, anti-codon, and T loops). The record is from Rfam by way of RNAcentral. RNAcentral also lists the same sequence under 2 other names. Lineage: Eukaryota; Metazoa; Chordata; Mammalia; Artiodactyla; Camelidae.